This 257-nucleotide ribosomal RNA is filed under the name uncultured Anaerococcus sp. RNAcentral describes it as "partial 16S ribosomal RNA". It matches the Rfam family "Bacterial small subunit ribosomal RNA", at positions 99 to 355 of the family's 1533-position model. The record is from RNAcentral. Lineage: Bacteria; Bacillati; Bacillota; Tissierellia; Tissierellales; Peptoniphilaceae.
CGGACGGGUGAGUAACGCGUGAGUAACCUGCCUUACACAAGGGGAUAGCCGUUGGAAACGACGAAUAAUACCCUAUGACAUAAACUCCUCGCAUGAGGAGCUUAUCAAAGAUUUAUAGGUGUAAGAUGGACUCGCGUCUGAUUAGCUAGUUGGUGAGGUAACGGCCCACCAAGGCGACGAUCAGUAGCCGGCUUGAGAGAGUGUACGGCCACAUUGGGACUGAGACACGGCCCAGACUCCUACGGGAGGCAGCAGUC